RNAcentral lists this long non-coding RNA (1746 nucleotides) under Homo sapiens (human). RNAcentral's name for it is "HSALNT0204329". The record is from RNAcentral. Lineage: Eukaryota; Metazoa; Chordata; Mammalia; Primates; Hominidae.
GGCGCGAGCGGGAACCAGGGCUGCCUGCGGCGCUUGCGGACCAGCUGGAGUUCCGGGUGGGCGUGGGCUUGGCGGGCCCCGCACUCGGAGCAGCCGGCCGGCCCUGCCAGCCCUGGGCAAUGAGGGGCUUAGCACCCGGCCCAGCGGCUGCGGAGGGUGUACUGGGUCCCCCCGCAGUGCCAGCCCACCAGCGCUGCGCUCGAUUUCUCCCCGGGCCUUAGCUGCCUUCCUGUGGGGCAGGGCUCGGGACCUGCAGCCCGCCAUGCCUAAGCCUCCCACCCCCUCCGUGGGCUCCUGUGCGGCCCGAGCCUCCUCCAUCCCUGCUCUGAGGCGCCCAGUCCCAGCGACCACCCAAGGGCUGAGGAGUGCAGGCACACGGCGCAGGACUGGCAGGCAGCUCCACCUGCAGGCCCGGUGUGGGAUCCACUGGGUGAAGCCAGCUGGGCUCCUGAGUCUUGGAGAACCUUUAAGUCUAGCUCAGGGAUUGUAAAUACACCAAUAGGCAUUCUGUCUCUAGCUCAAGGUUUGUAAACACACCAAUCAGCACCGUGUGUCUAACUCAGGGUUUGUGAAUGCACCAAUCGACACUGUAUCUAGCUACUCUGGUGGGGCCUUGGAGAACCUUUGUGUAGACACUGUAUCUAGCUAAUCUGGUAGGGAGGUGGAGAACCUUUGUGUCUAGCUCAGGGAUUGUAAACGCACCAAUCAGUGCCCUGUCAAAACAGACCACUCGGCUCUACCAAUCAGCAGGACGUGGGUGGGGCCGGAUAAGAGAAUAAAAGCAGUCUGCCCCUAGCCAGCAGUGGCAACCCUUUCGGGUCCCCUUCCACACUGUGGUAGCUUUGUUCUUUCGCUCUUUGCAAUAAAUCGUGCUACUGCUCACUCUUUGGGUCCACACUGCUUUCAUGAGCUGUAACACUCACCGCGAAAGUCUGCAGCUUCGCUCCCGAAGCCAGCGAGACCACGAUACCACCAGGAAGAACGAACAACUCCAGAUGCGCCACCUUAAGAGCUGUAACACUCACCGCGAAGGCCUGCAGCUUCACUUCUGAGCCAGCGAGACGACGAACCCACCAGAAGGAAGAAACUCCGAACACAUCCGAACAUCAGAAGGAACAAACUCCAGACGCGCCACCUUAAGAGCUGUAACACUCAACGCGAGGGUCUGCGGCUUCAUUCUUGAAGUCAGUGAGACCAGGAACCCACCAAUUCCGGACACAGUGACGGGUGCCUGUAAUCCCAUCUACUUGGGAGGCUGAGACAGGAGAAUUGCUUGAACCUGGGAGGCAGAGGUUGCAGCGAGCUGAGAUCGUGCCAUUGCACUCCAGCUUGGGUGACAGAGCGAGACUCCAUCUCAAAAAAAAAAAAAAAAAAGAAAGAAAAGAAAAGAGAAUUAGCCGUGGUCAAUGUGUUUACAACACAGACAUCCCCAGAUGUUGGAAUUUAUUUUUUUAACCCCAGGAAGCCAGUUAUUAACAUGCACCACCAAAGGAGAGGAUAGAGGUAGCUGACAGGGAAGUCUAAGAAGAUACUAAAGGUUAUUACCUUCACUUACUUCAUGUUUUGACCUGGGCUUGGACUCAGCCAGUUGUGACAUCUGUCAUUCAUGGAACAAUCGCCUGAGCUUCAGGUCCCAAGAGAUAGUGGACAGAAGAGCAUGCAUUUUCAGCUUCAAACAUGUGCUACCUGACUAGAUGGAAUUCCUUGAGAACUGUAUUAACAUGUUUCAAAGAGUUGAAUUAACAG